Molecule: ribosomal RNA, 498 nt
Filed under: uncultured bacterium
Lineage: Bacteria
Description: partial 16S ribosomal RNA
Rfam family: Bacterial small subunit ribosomal RNA
Source: RNAcentral
AUUGAACGCUGGCGGCACGCCUUACACAUGCAAGUCGAACGGUAACAGGUCUUCGGAUGCUGACGAGUGGCGAACGGGUGAGUAAUACAUCGGAACGUGCCUAGUAGUGGGGGAUAACUACUCGAAAGAGUGGCUAAUACCGCAUGAGAUCUACGGAUGAAAGCAGGGGAUCGCAAGACCUUGUGCUACUAGAGCGGCCGAUGGCGGAUUAGGUAGUUGGUGGGAUAAAAGCUUACCAAGCCGACGAUCUGUAGCUGGUCUGAGAGGACGAUGAGCCAGACUGGGGCUGAGAAACGGCCCAGACUCCUACGGGAGGCAGCAGUGGGGAAUUUUGGACAAGGGGCGGAAGCCUGAUCCAGAAAGGCAGCGUGCAGGAUGAAGGCCUUCGGGUUGAAAACUGCUUUUGUACGGAACGAAAAGCCCCGGGUUAAUACCCUGGGGUCAUGACGGUACCGUAAGAAUAAGCACCGGCUAACUACGUGCCAGCCGCCGCGGUAA